UUCUUGGAUUUGCUGAAGACUAACUACUGCGAAAGCAUUCGCCAAGGAUGUUUUCANCNUUUAGGGAACGAAAGUUAGGGGAUCGAAGACGAUCAGAUACCGUUNGUAGUCUUAACCAUAAACUAUGCCGACUAGGGAUCGGACGGGAUUCUAUUAUGACCCG
RNAcentral lists this ribosomal RNA (163 nucleotides) under uncultured Glomeromycotina. Its description in RNAcentral is "partial 18S ribosomal RNA". It matches the Rfam family "Eukaryotic small subunit ribosomal RNA", at positions 917 to 1078 of the family's 1831-position model. Lineage: Eukaryota; Fungi; Glomeromycota. The record is from RNAcentral.